RNAcentral lists this ribosomal RNA (253 nucleotides) under uncultured bacterium. RNAcentral describes it as "partial 16S ribosomal RNA". It matches the Rfam family "Bacterial small subunit ribosomal RNA", at positions 524 to 776 of the family's 1533-position model. The record is from RNAcentral.
UACGUAGGGGGCAAGCGUUGUCCGGAAUCAUUGGGCGUAAAGAGCGUGUAGGCGGCCCGGUAAGUCCGCUGUGAAAGUCGAGGGCUCAACCCUCGAAUGCCGGCGGAUACUGUCGGGCUAGAGUCCGGAAGAGGCGAGUGGAAUUCCUGGUGUAGCGGUGAAAUGCGCAGAUAUCAGGAGGAACACCUACGGCGAAGGCAGCUCGCUGGGACGGUACUGACGCUGAGGCGCGAAAGCGUGGGUAGCAAACAGG